CUCUUGUAGUCAUUUCUAAAUUAAUUCUAUGACAAGUAUAGGACAUUAAUACAUAAAAAAAAUCAAUAAGGAGAAUAAUAUAUCAAUUAUCUCCAAUACCGUUCUAAGUUUCACUUAAAACAAAGAAAACUCAUAUUCAAAUUUUAGACCGUUAGUUCCCUUCUCAUAUUUCAAAAUUAUUUUCAAAACCCUUUUUCAGCGAUUUUAAUAAGCCAAAGGGUAUCAGUACGUAAUUGUACAUAAAUCUCGGUUUUCCACAGAAAUUGCAAAAGAAUUUUCCGUAACCCUCUUUCAGCAAUUUAUGAUAACUAAGAAGGUACCGUUACGAAAUUUCCUAUAAAAUUUCCAGUUUUCACUGAAAUUAACUUUCGCAAGCCUCUUCUUGAAAACGUUUUAUGCAAAAACACUGCGGCAAUAAUACUUGCAAAAUGUGACAGCGUUUUUGAAACUGUUGCAAAAAAGGUGGACUAAAUAUGUAAUUUUCAAACUUUGACUGUAAAAACCAUUUUUGAACGAUUUUUUUCUCAUUUUCUGAUUUCGUUCUCUCUCUCCUCCCGAGAGUUCCUUUUUCCUCUCGCGAAACCCUAACUGAGGGUUUAGUCCGCCGCACCGCACCUCCGCUGCCGUCACUGCCAGUACCAACACCGCCGCUGCCGAGAGGAUGACGACCUCCUCUUCUUCCUGUUGUGAGGAAGAUGCUCGGAGCGGCUAUCCGACGAGCAGCGAAGAAGCCCUUUUCCACCAGAUUGGGGUUUUGGGUUGCGGCGAGGACGAUAUGCCUGUAACUCCAGGGCUGGGAAUCCCUGCUCUCAACCUCCCCACCAUUUCCCACGACUUGCCAUCUGCGUCUUCGUGUGCUGAACUGACAAGUUGAGACAGAACAUUUCGAUUUUGUUUCUGUCAAUCUCCCUCUUUACCCAAAUUUCAGAUCGCCUAGAUUGCAGGACAAACAAAGACCCUCUGGCUUCCAUUUUUCGUGUCGAGAGCGCACGAAUGAAAACGACCCUUCGCGAGUCGCGGCUGGUGAACAACGCUCAAACAACGAUCGAUUUAAAGCAAGAAAAGACAGAGUUUUCAGAGGCUCAAAUCGCAGGCUGAUCCUCGGAGGUAAAAUUGGCGAUGGAGGCAAUGGACACGGCGGCGGGGGAAUGGGGAUGGACCGGAUGGUCUUCACGGUUCUUUUCGGUGGCGAGAGCGGCGUUCACGUUGCUGCUUUAUCCUCGCUGGGAGGAACGGGAUCCAAGCUCAGAGGAGGACGGUGUACUCCUUCUCGGUGAAAUUCAGCUUUGAGAAUAGCACUUAGGUAAGUUAAUUAAAUGUAUUUUCUUUUACAUGUUUUGGUGUUUGAAAAAACACCAAGUAUGUAUACGGAUAAAAAUAUAAUGUAUACAGUUAUUUUUUCA
Molecule: long non-coding RNA, 1403 nt
Organism: Nymphaea colorata (pocket water lily)
Lineage: Eukaryota; Viridiplantae; Streptophyta; Magnoliopsida; Nymphaeales; Nymphaeaceae
Exons: 2
Source: RefSeq, a predicted model, not a curated record